ACAGAGGUGGUGGUCCAUUUACGGCUGGGCGAGUGUGUGCUUCUGUGUACGUACAUGUACGUGUGAAAGAAAGAGAUCUAAGGGAUGCUCAGACUCUGAAGAUGGUGACUUGAUGACUCCGCAAAAUUAUCACAAACCAUUCCUGACAACUAAGGGAGACCAGGGCUGGACGUCACACAUUUUCUACUCCAAAUAAAUUCCUCAAGGUGGGUUUAUUUUCAGAGGUAAAUUUCAUUGCCCUGCAAACUGAUAAAAUGGAGUAACUAAGCCAACAAUAAAGCUGAAUUAUUAUUUUUUUUUUAGGUUUUUGAUGGAUUGACAUCAAAUUUUACAUGGAUCAAGUAUUCGAGACAGGAGUGU
Molecule: long non-coding RNA, 360 nt
Organism: Cyprinus carpio carpio
Lineage: Eukaryota; Metazoa; Chordata; Actinopteri; Cypriniformes; Cyprinidae
Source: Ensembl